RNAcentral lists this ribosomal RNA (786 nucleotides) under Gliomastix tumulicola. RNAcentral's name for it is "partial large subunit ribosomal RNA". It matches the Rfam family "Eukaryotic large subunit ribosomal RNA", at positions 76 to 894 of the family's 3401-position model. The record is from RNAcentral. Lineage: Eukaryota; Fungi; Ascomycota; Sordariomycetes; Hypocreales; Bionectriaceae.
UGCCUCAGUAACGGCGAGUGAAGCGGCAACAGCUCAAAUUUGAAAUCUGGCCUCUGGCCCGAGUUGUAAUUUGCAGAGGAUGUUUCUGGCGAGGUGCCUUCCGAGUUCCCUGGAACGGGACGCCAUAGAGGGUGAGAGCCCCGUACGGUUGGUCGCUAAGCCUCUGUGAAACUCCUUCGACGAGUCGAGUAGUUUGGGAAUGCUGCUCUAAAUGGGAGGUGUACGCCUUCUAAAGCUAAAUAUAGGCUAGAGACCGAUAGCGCACAAGUAGAGUGAUCGAAAGAUGAAAAGCACUUUGAAAAGAGGGUUAAAUAGUACGUGAAAUUGUUGAAAGGGAAGCGCUCUUGACCAGACUUGCGCCGGUUGAUCAUCCACCGUUCUCGGUGGUGCACUCUGCCGGCUCAGGCCAGCAUCAGUUCGGCUUGGGGGAUAAAGGCUUCGGGAAUGUGGCUCUCUCCGGGGAGUGUUAUAGCCCGUUGCGUAAUACCCUGGGCCGGACUGAGGUUCGCGCAUCUGCAUGGAUGCUGGCGUAAUGGUCAUCAGUGACCCGUCUUGAAACACGGACCAAGGAGUCGUCUUCGUAUGCGAGUGUUCGGGUGUCAAACCCCUACGCGUAAUGAAAGUGAACGUAGGAGAGAGCUUCGGCGCAUCUCCGACCGAUCCUGAUGUUCUCGGAUGGAUUUGAGUAAGAGCAUACGGGGCCGGACCCGAUAGAAGGUGAACUAUGCCUGUAUAGGGUGAAGCCAGAGGAUACUCUGGUGGAGGCUCGCAGCGGUUCUGACGUGC